This 365-nucleotide unclassified non-coding RNA is filed under the name Hevea brasiliensis (rubber tree). Lineage: Eukaryota; Viridiplantae; Streptophyta; Magnoliopsida; Malpighiales; Euphorbiaceae. The record is from RNAcentral.
AAAUUUUGUGAUAAUGUGAAGACUCUAUUCAAGUUUAAUGAGUCGAGUAAGUGUGUUGUUCAGAAAUUGCACACUGUGAGAUUGUUAGAACUGCCUGAGCUGACAAGCAUAGGGGCUGUUUUGCCUUCUCUAGAUAUUUUUGAUCCUAGAGAAUGCCCAAAGCUGGAGGACUCGAAAGAAAGUCUCAAAAUAGGGACCGCAUCUCCUUAAAUUGCAGAAACUAUCAUAUAAGGGCCAUCUCUGCUACUUCUGUAGUUGUGGGAACAUCUGAACCAAGAAGCUUCCCAUAGUGUGAUGGAAGUUACCAGCAGAAGUUAAAUGGUUCCUGGCAUGCUUGAGGUUGGAACUCUAUCUUGAUUUGUCAC